Molecule: ribosomal RNA, 255 nt
Filed under: uncultured bacterium
Lineage: Bacteria
Description: partial 16S ribosomal RNA
Rfam family: Bacterial small subunit ribosomal RNA
Source: RNAcentral
UAGCAUGGGGUGCAAACGUUGCUCGGAAUUAUUGGGCGUAAAGCGCACGUAGGCGGUUCGUUAAGUCGGAUGUGAAAGCCCUCGGCUCAACUGAGGAAGUGCACCCGAAACUGGCGAGCUUGAGUACGAAAGAGGAUCGCGGAAUUCCCGGUGUAGAGGUGAAAUUCGUAGAUAUCGGGGAGGAACACCGGUGGCGAAGGCGGCGAUCUGGGUCGAUACUGACGCUGAGGUGCGAAAGCGUGGGGAGCAAACAGG